CUAUAAUGCAGUCGAGCGACAGAUAAGGAGCUUGCUCCUUUGACGUUAGCGGCGGACGGGUGAGUAACACGUGGAUAACCUACCUAUAAGACUGGGAUAACUUCGGGAAACCGGAGCUAAUACCGGAUAAUAUAUUGAACCGCAUGGUUCAAUAGUGAAAGGCGGCUUUGCUGUCACUUAUAGAUGGAUCCGCGCCGUAUUAGCUAGUUGGUAAGGUAACGGCUUACCAAGGCAACGAUACGUAGCCGACCUGAGAGGGUGAUCGGCCACACUGGAACUGAGACACGGUCCAGACUCCUACGGGAGGCAGCAGUAGGGAAUCUUCCGCAAUGGGCGAAAGCCUGACGGAGCAACGCCGCGUGAGUGAUGAAGGUCUUCGGAUCGUAAAACUCUGUUAUCAGGGAAGAACAAAUGUGUAAGUAACUGUGCACAUCUUGACGGUACCUGAUCAGAAAGCCACGGCUAACUACGUGCCAGCAGCC
RNAcentral lists this ribosomal RNA (482 nucleotides) under uncultured bacterium. RNAcentral describes it as "bacterial SSU rRNA". It matches the Rfam family "Bacterial small subunit ribosomal RNA", at positions 51 to 516 of the family's 1533-position model. The record is from RNAcentral.